Molecule: ribosomal RNA, 253 nt
Filed under: uncultured bacterium
Lineage: Bacteria
Description: partial 16S ribosomal RNA
Rfam family: Bacterial small subunit ribosomal RNA
Source: RNAcentral
UACGGAGGGUGCGAGCGUUAAUCGGAAUUACUGGGCGUAAAGCGCGCGUAGGCGGUGGCGUGAGUCGGAUGUGAAAGCCCCGGGCUCAACCUGGGAAUGGCAUUCGAUACCGCGUCGCUAGAGUUUGGGAGAGGGAAGGGGAAUUCCGGGUGUAGCGGUGAAAUGCGUAGAUAUCCGGAGGAACACCAGUGGCGAAGGCGCCUUCCUGGCCUAAGACUGACGCUGAGGUGCGAAAGCGUGGGGAGCAAACAGG